Molecule: unclassified non-coding RNA, 343 nt
Filed under: Hevea brasiliensis (rubber tree)
Lineage: Eukaryota; Viridiplantae; Streptophyta; Magnoliopsida; Malpighiales; Euphorbiaceae
Source: RNAcentral
CUAAAAAGCAACAAAUAUGGUUCUCCUACUCAUGUUUCUGUAGCGGCAGCUGCUACUGAAUUCUGAUUCUAAUAUUGAUGGCAGAAAUGGCUUCCUAGGGAACAGAAUCUCCAGAUCUCAACAUGGAGAAGAAGAUUGGUGCUAGAAUUGGAAUGAGAAAGUGGGAUUGUUUAUGAGAUUUUGCUCGCUGGGGAAUUUCUGCAAUGUCCGUGAUGAUUAUGUAGAAUCCUUCGGCCGGUAAUCAUUCUUCUGUGUUUGGUGGAACUCAUCUGCCCGUUAACAAUUGGUAUAUAAUUCAUAUUGACAUCAUAUAUUUAAGCGAUUUAAAAUUUUUAUUUCAAAA